Triticum dicoccoides is the source of this 1363-nucleotide long non-coding RNA. RefSeq lists it as uncharacterized. The transcript is spliced from 2 exons. Lineage: Eukaryota; Viridiplantae; Streptophyta; Magnoliopsida; Poales; Poaceae. The record is from RefSeq and is a predicted model, not a curated record.
CGGUAGGUUCCAUAACGCGAACGGUUCCUAGCCCAUGAGAAGUGUCAUUACUUUUUUUCUCGUCACUUUGGCUGCAUCCUCUGACGUUUGCAUACUCCUCCCCAUCACUGGCUCGCCAUGGCUUCCAGCACUCUUCUCUGAUGGCUACCGCCCCAUCCCCGCCCUCCGGUGACCAACCUCUUCCCGAGACCCUCUGCCAAACGAGGAGGAGGACGGCGAUGCGUUGCUGGCCUUCCGGCCUCCCAAUUUCGUCGUCACCACCGUUGCAUCCGUCACUCCCCUGGUCAGAUCCGGUGACAUUGAGCACGGGGUGCCUCCCUCCGAUGCCGUCGUGACCUCCCCCUUCUCCACCAAGAACACCCUCCGCGAUGGGAUCUAGCCGGUGACCUCGAGCUUGCCCAGAUGCGGCCAAGAUCCUCCGCUAGCGCGGGCUUGUGCUCUUCUUACUUCCGGUGCUCGUGGUCGCCACACUGGGCCCUCCUUCAGCUCUCUAGCUGGCAACUGAUCUCCCCCACCUCCACCUUCCUCUCACUGGUGCUAGCCUUGGCGCUCCACUUCGACGACGACCAACCUCCCCAACUGGACGGCGUGCGGUGGCCACGCACGCCAUCUGCCCGUCGCCGUGUGCCCCGUCCUUGUGCGAUACGCCGUGUCCCUCCUUCGGCCCCUCUCUUUCUCUCCUCUCCUGCAAGCUCUCCCUCCCAUCGUGAUGCUCUCUUCCCCGCACCACCACCAGCCGGAGGUGGACGGGAUCCGACCGAGGAGGGACUGCCUCGUUCGCACCACACGCGUCCGGAGCUCGACGAGUGGACGACGGCGUCGUAGGGAGGCCAGCCCAACUCUCCACAGCAGAGCAGCAGCAGCACCUCGUCCUCAGGGACUCCGGGUUCUCUACUCUGACGUUGGCAUCACCAUGCUCUGCUCCUACGAGUGCCUCGACAUCCGGGUGGUGCAUUUUGCACGCGAUCGAUGAUCCACUUCCUAGAAUUAGGUGCUGCCUUUUUCCCCAUUAAUUUGGUGGUUAGAUUCGUGAGGCCAGAGCUUCCCCGUUCCUGCCCCGCCGCCCCUCUGCUGUGUGCCGGGUGGGCUGCUCCGGCAGGCAUGAUGAGGUCCUCGAUAGGGAAUGCGGCUGUUUGCUCGGAGAGCUUGGCGUCCUGAUGCUUGGCGUUCAUCCCAUCUCUAUUCUUCUUUAAUUUGCUGCUGCUCGUGAUGACCUUUCUUAUGUUUGUGUUAGUUUCCAUCUAAGAGCUGCUAUCUGUCGGGCUGAACACUUGGUUUCAUGAGAUACCGAUUUAGUCCAUCAUAAAAAAUACUUUUGUUAUUCAAUUAUGAAGCGUUCAUCUAAAAAAAGAUGUAUGAAGAA